UACGGAGGGUGCAAGCGUUAUCCGGAAUCAUUGGGUUUAAAGGGUCCGCAGGCGGUCAAUUAAGUCAGAGGUGAAAUCCCACAGCUCAACUGUGGAACUGCCUUUGAUACUGGUUGACUUGAGUUAUACGGAAGUAGAUAGAAUAUGUAGUGUAGCGGUGAAAUGCAUAGAUAUUACAUAGAAUACCGAUUGCGAAGGCAGUCUACUACGUAUAUACUGACGCUCAUGGACGAAAGCGUGGGGAGCGAACAGG
This 253-nucleotide ribosomal RNA is filed under the name uncultured bacterium. Its description in RNAcentral is "partial 16S ribosomal RNA". It matches the Rfam family "Bacterial small subunit ribosomal RNA", at positions 524 to 776 of the family's 1533-position model. The record is from RNAcentral. RNAcentral also lists the same sequence under 1 other name.